This 1696-nucleotide long non-coding RNA is filed under the name Brassica napus (rape). RNAcentral describes it as "long non-coding RNA (BNAP_LNC007500)". The record is from RNAcentral. Lineage: Eukaryota; Viridiplantae; Streptophyta; Magnoliopsida; Brassicales; Brassicaceae.
GUGAGUCACGACGAGCAUCUGAUUUCGGGAAGCGUGGAUGAGCUGUGGGUUGUGUCAGACGGCAGGAUUGCACCAUUCCAUGGAACCUUCCAUGACUACAAGAAACUUCUCCAAUCUUCUUCUUAAGUUUUUUCUCUCUAAACCUCAGUUUCAUUCCUUGCUGGCCUUUUUCUCGUGUGGAUUUUGUUGAAAAUCAAAAAAUUGAAUUUUGAAAUCAGUUUAUACUUUAAAAGGAAAUUAUUAAUAGUAUCCAAAAACCUAAUAAUAAUGUGUGUUUAUGCUGUCUUCAAUUCUCCAGUUCUCGUAUAGAAUUCUUAGACUUAUUGUUUACUUUCUGAAUUCAUAUUGUGGAAUACAAAACUAUAAUACAGAGCAAUUGAAAUGCAUAAUCAAAAUAUACCUUUAGGUAAAUUUAUAGUAAUGUUUUCUAGUUAUAUUUUGUCUACUAACAAAUUAUUAAAAUUAUUAUUUUCUUUAUUGUAAAUGACUGGCAAAUUGAAUUUUAACGUAAUUUUAAAACAGUGGUUAAACACUUAAACGGGAUUAAAAAAAUAUGUCAAUUAAAGAAAACAAAUAUAAAUUGGACACAAUGCAUUUUCUAUUGAAAUCAUUCAAUUGAACGGGAUUACGAAGAUGGGCCAAUGGGCCUGUUUCAGGCUUAUUUCGUUAGUUAGUGUUUUUUUUUUCCUUUUGUGUGCAACCGCCAGUUGGCGUCUAAGCGUUUCUAUCAAAACGUUUCACAAUAAAACGUUUUGAUAGAAACGAUUGAACAACAAACAUUUUAAUUUUAUGCUUUUCUUUCUCUCUAUCUCUCUUUCCUCCCUUUCUUUUCGGAUUCUUCGUUUCGAUUGGUUUGGUGUCAAAGUAAAUUAAAUUGAUAAAGCCUCGAAUCGAAACUUGUUCUUUCGAUAGCGGAACCAACCCUAAUUCAUGGAUCGAUUAGAAGAAACCCUAAUUUCAGAAGAGGAGGAGGAGGAAGAAGAAGAUGUCGAUUUCAAUCCUCUUCUAAAAGAAACCCCUUCCCGUGAAGCUUCUUCCAGUUUGAGCUCUGACGUCGAAACUCUCGACGCUUCAGCCAAUGUACACUUUAUCAGGUGGUCAGAAAAGCAGAGUGGCAUUUGCCAAGAUCACAUUCAAGAAACCGCACUUGCUAUUGCUUGAUGAGCCCUCCAAUCAUCUUGUAAGCCAUAUUCUUCUUGUUAAUAAAUAAGAAGCAAAGGAUUUGCUAUAAACUAAUGUAAUAAUAAUGUGUCAGGAUCUGGAUGCUGUGGAAGCUUUGAUUCAAGGACUUGUCCUAUUCCAAGGCGGUAUUUGCAUGGUAACAACAACAAUAACUCGUGUAUCAAGUCCCUUGUCUUCUUAUUAGGGGCAAGAUUAAAAAACUAAUGUGUGUGUGUGUGUGGUUGUGGUGCAUAGGUGAGUCACGACGAGCAUCUGAUUUCGGGAAGCGUGGAUGAGCUGUGGGUUGUGUCAGACGGCAGGAUUGCACCAUUCCAUGGAACCUUCCAUGACUACAAGAAACUUCUCCAAUCUUCUUCUUAAGUUUUUUCUCUCUAAACCUCAGUUUCAUUCCUUGCUGGCCUUUUUCUCGUGUGGAUUUUGUUGAAAAUCAAAAAAUUGAAUUUUGAAAUCAGUUUAUACUUUAAAAGGAAAUUAUUAAUAGUAUCCAAAAACCUAAUAAUAAUGUGUGUUUAUG